UACGUAGGUGGCAAGCGUUAUCCGGAAUUACUGGGCGUAAAGCGCACGCAGGCGGCUCGUCAAGUUCGACGUGAAAGCUCCCGGCUUAACUGGGAGAGGUCGUUGAAAACUGAUGAGCUUGAGGCAAUGAGAGGGGUGUAGAAUUCCCGGUGUAGUGGUGGAAUGCGUAGAUAUCGGGAGGAAUACCAGUGGCGAAAGCGGCACCCUAGCGUUAGCCUGACGCUCAUGUGCGAAAGCGUGGGGAGCGAACGGGAUUAGAAACCCCAGUAGUCC
Molecule: ribosomal RNA, 273 nt
Filed under: uncultured bacterium
Lineage: Bacteria
Description: partial 16S ribosomal RNA
Rfam family: Bacterial small subunit ribosomal RNA
Source: RNAcentral